Papaver somniferum (opium poppy) is the source of this 1182-nucleotide long non-coding RNA. RefSeq lists it as uncharacterized. Lineage: Eukaryota; Viridiplantae; Streptophyta; Magnoliopsida; Ranunculales; Papaveraceae. The transcript is spliced from 4 exons. The record is from RefSeq and is a predicted model, not a curated record.
CUUUUCUUCCCUCCUCUCCUCUCUCAGCGACGGAACUCUUGCCUUACACUCUUCUUCUUCAUUAACAGAUAAGAAAAUCUUAGAUCAUUUUCUUAAUGUACAGCAAAUCAUGACGACACAGAUGCGAGAAAAAAAAACGAAGUCUUGCUGAUGGAGCAUUCUUUGCUGAACAUGGUUACUCUGGUGUUGGAGUUAGGGUUACAGCUCAGGGCUUGUUUUUUCUUAUUGGAAUCACUGGUGUUGAAGUUAGGGUUGCCAACCAGAGGUGAUGCUCAAGUUCUUGAAAGGAUUUGAGCCAAAGCUCGGGAUCAAUUGUUCUUAAGAAACUGAACCACUAGGUACUGCUGGACCUUUAUCUUUGACUGAUGACUCUUCUGAGCCACUCUUUGUCCUCUAUAGCGAUAGUGAUGUUAUUAGUGGAUACCGACUCAAGGAAUUUCUUGAAUUCCAUGGCUCCAAUUGUUGUUACCUAGAUUAUGAUUUGAGGAAAUCCAUAGUUUAUUAGAUGUUUUUGAUUGCCUUUUGUCGGUUUAGAUCUGAUUAUUGUUUGGUUUUUGGAUGUGUUGGUGAGAAGGGAAGAAGGAUUAGAAAAUUGAUUUCUGUAGUACAUAAGAGGUUAAAGUUUCAUGAUAACAGUGAUGAACUUCGUGCCGAGAAAGUGAGAAAAUUGAUUUAACUGUAUAAUGAAGAGAGGAGUUGAAUCUGCUUCAACUUGUAUUGCUCCACCUCAAUCAAGGCAAAGAAUAGAUCUCAAUGGAUCUCAUGGCCCCACUACAAGAAAAACUGGAUUAAGCAACCAGGCAGUUUUGGUUGCAAAAGCACAUAUUGAGUCGCACUAACCCUUAGAGCGACUUAAUUUGGCUCUCACUCUUGAGUUGCAAAAGGUGAGAUCUCUAUAGGUCUAGAGCAGCUAAGCACUCGCUCUAAGAAUGUUUCAACUACCAUCAGCGAUUAACUAAUAUUCUUGCUGUCAGUUUAUUCCAAUUAUCGUUGAUCAAGUCGCUCUAAAUAUGCUUCAACUGCCAUGAGCGGCCAACCAAUAUCAUUGCUCUAAAUUUAUUUCAACCAUCUUAGCGAGUAAUAUGUUACGUUGACAAAGGUUUAGAGCAACUUAACUGACUAAUAAUAAGUUUCUCAAGGGUAUUGGAUGUACAAGAUUUUAGUCGGUACAAACUUUCAACU